Otolemur garnettii (small-eared galago) is the source of this 134-nucleotide small nucleolar RNA. Lineage: Eukaryota; Metazoa; Chordata; Mammalia; Primates; Galagidae. The record is from Ensembl.
GCAUGGCUGAAUACUGUGUUCUUUUAUUGGUAGAUUACACAGCCAGACACCAUGCAAAAGCAGUCUUCCCUUUUAAAUGACUGAUAUGCUAAGUUAUUUCAUAGCAUAUCAUUUUGUUAAAGGUGAACACAAAU